This 1336-nucleotide ribosomal RNA is filed under the name Nymphalis c-aureum. Its description in RNAcentral is "Polygonia c-aureum 16S ribosomal RNA". The record is from RNAcentral. Lineage: Eukaryota; Metazoa; Arthropoda; Insecta; Lepidoptera; Nymphalidae.
AGGGGGUAAAUUAAUAAUUUAAAUUAUAAUAAAAAAAAUUUUAAUAUUAAAAAAAAAUAAUGGGGGUUAGAGUAUUUUUAAUAGAAAAAAUUAGUAGUUUUAUAGUUAAUUAUUACUGUAAAGGAAAUUAUAAAUAAUUGAAAAUUAAUUAAAAAAAAAGUAAAUUUAAUUUGUUGUAUCUUGUGUAUCAGAGUUUAUUAAAUAUUAGUAAUUUAUUUAAAUAAAUCUCGAAUUUAAAAGAGUUAAUUAAUUAAAAAAGUUAAUGUUGAAUAAUUAUUUUAAAUAAUUAAUUAGAAAUGAAAUGUUAAUCGUUUUUAAAUAUAUCUAGUUUUUUUAGAAAAAAAUUUAAUUUUAAAUUAAAAUAAUUUUAUAAUUUUUUAAUUAAUUAUAAAAAUUUAAAAUUUAAUAUUUUAGGGGAUAAGCUUUAAAUUAAAAUUUUAUAAUUAAUAAAUAAAAAUUAAAAUUUUUAAAAUUUAUAUUGUUUAAAAAUUAUAAUUUAUUAUAAAAAAUUUUAAUUAAAAUAAAAUUUAAAUUAAAUUUAAUUUUUUAUAAAAAAAUGAUUUUUAAUUAAUAAAAAUUAAUAAUAAUGAUAAAAUUAGUAUAUUAUAAUUAAUAAAAAAAAAAUUAGUUAAAAUUAAAUUAAAGGAAUUCGGCAAAAUUUUAUAUUCACUUGUUUAUCAAAAACAUGUCUUUUUGAAAAUAAUUUAAAGUCUAAUCUGCCCACUGAUAUAAUUAUUAAAGGGCUGCAGUAUAUUGACUGUACAAAGGUAGCAUAAUCAUUAGUCUUUUAAUUGAAGACUUGUAUGAAAGAUUUGAUGAAAUAUUAACUGUCUCUGAUUUAUUUAUAUAAAAUUUAAUUUUUUAGUUAAAAAGCUAAAAUAAAAUUAAAAGACGAGAAGACCCUAUAGAGUUUUAUAAUUAUAAUAAUUAAUAAAUAUCUUAUUUAUAUAUAAAUAAAGAAAAAUUAUUUUAAUUAUUUUAUUGGGGUGAUAAAAAAAUUAAAAAAACUUUUUUUUAUUUAAACAUAAAUAAGUGAAAGAAUGAUCCAUUAAUAAUGAUUAUAAGAAAAAAUUACCUUAGGGAUAACAGCGUAAUAUUUUUUUUUAGUACAAAUAAAAAAAAAAGUUUGCGACCUCGAUGUUGGAUUAAGAUAAAAUUUAAAUGCAAAAGUUUAAAAUUUUGAUCUGUUCGAUCAUUAAAAUCUUACAUGAUCUGAGUUCAAACCGGUGUAAGCCAGGUUGGUUUCUAUCUUUAAUAAAAAUAAAUAUUUUAGUACGAAAGGAUCAAAUAUUUGAAAUAAUUUUAAUUAUAAGAAUAUUAAUAAAUUUAUAUAAAA